Molecule: ribosomal RNA, 497 nt
Filed under: uncultured bacterium
Lineage: Bacteria
Description: partial 16S ribosomal RNA
Rfam family: Bacterial small subunit ribosomal RNA
Source: RNAcentral
GAUGAACGCUGGCGGCGUGCCUAAUACAUGCAAGUCGAGCGAACGGACGAGAAGCUUGCUUCUCUGAUGUUAGCGGCGGACGGGUGAGUAACACGUGGAUAACCUACCUAUAAGACUGGGAUAACUUCGGGAAACCGGAGCUAAUACCGGAUAAUAUUUUGAACCGCAUGGUUCAAAAGUGAAAGACGGUCUUGCUGUCACUUAUAGCUGGUUCCGCGCUGCAUUAGCUAGUUGGUAAGGUAACGGCUUACCAAGGCAACGAUGCAUAGCCGACGUGAGAGGGUGGUCGGCCGCACGGGAACUGAAACACGGUCCAGACUCCUACGGGAGGCAGCAGUAGGGAAUCUUCCGCAAUGGGGGAAAGCCUGACGGAGCAACGCCGCGUGAGUGAUGAAGGUCUUCGGAUCGUAAAACUCUGUUAUUAGGGAAGAACAUAUGUGUAAGUAACUGUGCACAUCUUGACGGUACCUAAUCAGAAAGCCACGGCUAACUACGUG